RNAcentral lists this ribosomal RNA (499 nucleotides) under uncultured Glomeromycotina. Its description in RNAcentral is "partial small subunit ribosomal RNA". It matches the Rfam family "Eukaryotic small subunit ribosomal RNA", at positions 591 to 1092 of the family's 1831-position model. The record is from RNAcentral. Lineage: Eukaryota; Fungi; Glomeromycota.
CCAAUAGCGUAUAUUAAAGUUGUUGCAGUUAAAAAGCUCGUAGUUGAAUUUCGGGACCAAUUUGUUGGUCGUGCCUCGGUACGUACUGGCAUUAUUGGUUUCUCCCUUCUGAAGAACCUCGAUGUCAUUAAUUUGGUGUCGUGGGGAAUCAGGACUGUUACUUUGAAAAAAUUAGAGUGUUUAAAGCAGGCAUACGCUUGAAUACAUUAGCAUGGAAUAAUGAAAUAGGACGUUUGAUUCUAUUUUGUUGGUUUCUAGGAUCGACGUAAUGAUUAAUAGGGAUAGUUGGGGGCAUUAGUAUUCAAUUGUCAGAGGUGAAAUUCUUGGAUUUAUUUAAGACUAACUACUGCGAAAGCAUUUGCCAAGGAUGUUUUCAUUAAUCAAGAACGAAAGUUAGGGGAUCGAAGACGAUCAGAUACCGUCGUAGUCUUAACCAUAAACUAUGCCGACUAGGGAUCGGAUGAUGUUAAUUUUUUAAUGACUCAUUCGGCGCCUUACG